UAGGAUGGACCCGCGUCUGAUUAGCUAGUUGGUGAGAUAACUGCCCACCAAGGCGACGAUCAGUAGCCGACCUGAGAGGGUGAUCGGCCACAUUGGAACUGAGACACGGUCCAAACUCCUACGGGAGGCAGCAGUGGGGAAUAUUGCACAAUGGGCGAAAGCCUGAUGCAGCAACGCCGCGUGAACGAUGAAGGUUUUCGGCUCGUAAAGCUCUGUUGGUAGUGAAGAAAGAUAGAGGUAGUAACUGGUCUUUAUUUGACGGUAAUCAACCAGAAAGUCACGGCUAACUACGUGCCAGCAGCCGCGGUAAUACGUAGGUGGCAAGCGUUGUCCGGAUUUAUUGGGCGUAAAGCGAGCGCAGGCGGAAUGAUAAGUCUGAUGUGAAAGCCCACGGCUCAACCGUGGAACUGCAUCGGAAACUGUCAUUCUUGAGUGCAGAAGAGGAGAGUGGAACUCCAUGUGUAGCGGUGAAAUGCGUAGA
RNAcentral lists this ribosomal RNA (481 nucleotides) under uncultured bacterium. RNAcentral describes it as "bacterial SSU rRNA". It matches the Rfam family "Bacterial small subunit ribosomal RNA", at positions 221 to 694 of the family's 1533-position model. The record is from RNAcentral.